AGUUUAGCAGUCAUGAGCAUGGUAAGUGCUUAACUUCUAGUGUGAGUGUGUAACAUCAUUGUUGAUAACACUUCAGAUCCAUCAAUAUGUGGAAUAUGCAUUGACUUUUCAUCACAUGACAGUCUUGGUAUUUGUAAGCUUUUGGUGAUCUGAUAUGAUACAGAUUCAGGGUGUCUGAUAAAUGAGGACUGACUGAACUGUUGUUUCCUGUGUUUUUCUGGUCUAGCCAAAUUUCCACUAGAAUUGUUAUUUGGCCUUCAUUUGAGAAUUGUAGACUAUACCUUACAUACACUCAAAUGCUCUCGGGAAAGAAUUAGGACAGAGAUGCAUAAGAUCCAAAAUCGUCAACUUCUUUGUUAUUUCCAGAAGUGUCAGG
RNAcentral lists this unclassified non-coding RNA (376 nucleotides) under Hevea brasiliensis (rubber tree). Lineage: Eukaryota; Viridiplantae; Streptophyta; Magnoliopsida; Malpighiales; Euphorbiaceae. The record is from RNAcentral.